Molecule: ribosomal RNA, 372 nt
Filed under: uncultured organism
Description: bacterial SSU rRNA
Rfam family: Bacterial small subunit ribosomal RNA
Source: RNAcentral
CAGAGGGUGCGAGCGUUGUUCGGAAUCACUGGGCGUAAAGCGCGCGCAGGCGGGCGUGUAAGUCAGAAGUGAAAUUCCGGGGCUCAACCCCGGAGCUGCUUCUGAUACUGCGGGUCUGGAGACCGGUAGAGGCUGGUGGAAUUCCCGGUGUAGCGGUGGAAUGCGUAGAGAUCGGGAAGAACACCCGUGGCGAAGGCGGCCAGCUGGGCCGGUUCUGACGCUGAGGCGCGAAAGCGUGGGGAGCAAACAGGAUUAGAUACCCUGGUAGUCCACGCUGUAAACGAUGGGCACUAGGUGCCGGGGGGAGCGACCCCUUCGGUGCCGCAGCCAACGCGUUAAGUGCCCCGCCUGGGGAGUACGGCCGCAAGGCUG